This 406-nucleotide ribosomal RNA is filed under the name uncultured bacterium. RNAcentral's name for it is "partial 16S ribosomal RNA". It matches the Rfam family "Bacterial small subunit ribosomal RNA", at positions 30 to 526 of the family's 1533-position model. The record is from RNAcentral.
AUUGAACGCUGGCGGCAGGCCUAACACAUGCAAGUCGAACGAGUGGCGGACGGGUGAGUAAUGUAUGGGAAACUGCCUGAUGGAGGGGUAUAACGACGGUAAACGGUAGCUAAUACCGCAUACCAUCAGAUGUGCCCAGAGGGGAUUAGCUUGUUGGUGGGGUAACGGCUCACCAAGGCGACGAUCCCGAGCUGGUCUGAGAGGCUGACCGGCCACACUGGAACUGAGACACGGUCCAGACUCCUACGGGAGGCAGCAGUGGGGAAUAUUGCACAAUGGGCGCAAGCCUGAUGCAGCCAUGCCGCGUGUAUGAAGAAGGUCUUCGGGUUGUAAAGUACUGUCAGCGGGGAGGCGUUACCCGCAGAAGAAGCACCGGCUAACUCCGUGCCAGCAGCCGCGGUAAUUC